Molecule: ribosomal RNA, 1137 nt
Filed under: uncultured organism
Description: partial 16S ribosomal RNA
Rfam family: Bacterial small subunit ribosomal RNA
Source: RNAcentral
UAAAAGCCUACCAAGCCUAAGAUCCUUAGCUGUUCUGAGAGGUUGAACAGCCACACUGGGACUGAGACAAGGCCCAGGCUCCAUUUGGAGCCAGCAGUGAGGAAUUUUGGACAAUGAGCGAAAGCUUGAUCCAGCAAUACUACAUGAGUGAAGAAGGCUUUCAAGUUGUAACACUCUUUGGUUGAGGAGGAUAAUGACAGUACUCAACAAAAUAGCCCCGGCUAACUUCGUGCCAGCAGCCGCGGUAAGACGAAGGGGGCGAGCGUUAUCCGGAAUGACUGGGCGUAAAGGGUCCGUAGGCAGCAUUUUUUGUUGGAAGUUAAAUAAAAAAGCUUAACUUUUUUCCGCUUCUAAAACGUAAAUGCUUUGAGUUUGAUAGAAGAUAGCAGGAUUUCACAAGGAGGGGUGAUAUCCAGAGAUCUGUGAAGGAAUAUCAGAUGCGAAGGCGGCUAUCUAGAUCAACACUGACGUUGAGGGACGAAAGCAUGGGGAGCAAACAGGAUUAGAUACCCUGGUAGUCCAUGCCCUAAAAGAUGAGUGUUCGUGCUUAGAGAACUUUAGGCACUUAGUUAACACGUUAAACACUCCGCCUGGGGAGUACGAUCGCAAGGUUGGAACUCAAAGGAAUUGACGGGGGCCUAUACAAGUGGUGGAGCAUGUGGUUUAAUGCGAUAAUACGCGCGAAACCUUACCAGUUCUUGACAUAAAAAAGAAAAAGUUUGAAAAAGCAAUUUUAAAGAUUUUUACAGGUGCUGCAUGGCUGUCGUAAGCUCGUGUCGUGAGAUGUUAGGUUAACUCCUUUUAACGGGCGAAACCCCUUUUUUUCGUUGCUACUUAAUUUUAUUUUUAAAGCACUCUAAAAAAACUGCUCCCUUUUUUUAAUUCGGAGAGGAAGGUGGGGAUGACGUCAAGUCCUUAUGGCCCUUAUGAACUGGGCUACACACGUGCUACAAUGGUAAAGACAAUAAGAAGUGAUAGGGUAACCUAAAACCAAUCUUUAAACUUUAUCAAAGUUCGGAUUGUGGACUGCAACUCGUCCAUAUGAAGGUGGAAUCACUAGUAAUCGCACAUCAGCAUGUUGCGGUGAAUUUGUACCUAGGCCUUGUACACACCGCCCGUCACGUGCCGGGAGUUGGC